Capsella rubella is the source of this 171-nucleotide small nuclear RNA. It matches the Rfam family "U12 minor spliceosomal RNA". Rfam says of the family: Although the U12 sequence is very divergent from that of U2, the two are functionally analogous. The record is from Rfam. Lineage: Eukaryota; Viridiplantae; Streptophyta; Magnoliopsida; Brassicales; Brassicaceae.
CUGCCUUAAACUAAUGAGUAAGGAAAACAAAGCGAACAAUGAGGGCCGAUAGCAGUACUAAAAUUGUGCAAACGUUUAAAAAUGGCACAAGAAUUUAUGGAAGGGUAAUAAGCUUGCAGGAGUUGAUGACGCUGCUUACUUUUGUAGAAGACUUUUGUGUGGGCCUCCCCA